Molecule: ribosomal RNA, 547 nt
Filed under: uncultured bacterium
Lineage: Bacteria
Description: bacterial SSU rRNA
Rfam family: Bacterial small subunit ribosomal RNA
Source: RNAcentral
UGGGGAAUAUUGCGCAAUGGGGGGAACCCUGACGCAGCCAUGCCGCGUGAAUGAAGAAGGCCUUAGGGUUGUAAAGUUCUUUCGGUAUUGAGGAAGGUUGAUGUGUUAAUAGCACAUCAAAUUGACGUUAAAUACAGAAGAAGCGCCGGCUAACUCCGUGCCAGCAGCCGCGGUAAUACGGAGGGUGCGAGCGUUAAUCGGAAUAACUGGGCGUAAAGGGCACGCAGGCGGUUAUUUAAGUGAGGUGUGAAAGCCCCGGGCUUAACCUGGGAAUUGCAUUUCAGACUGGGUAACUAGAGUACUUUAGGGAGGGGUAGAAUUCCACGUGUAGCGGUGAAAUGCGUAGAGAUGUGGAGGAAUACCGAAGGCGAAGGCAGCCCCUUGGGAAUGUACUGACGCUCAUGUGCGAAAGCGUGGGAAGCAAACAGGAUUAGAUACCCUGGUAGUCCACGCUGUAAACGCUGUCGAUUUGGGGGUUGGGGUUUAACUCUGGCGCCCGUAGCUAACGUGAUAAAUCGACCGCCUGGGGAGUACGGCCGCAAGGUUA